UUUUCUUCGGUGCUUGCUGAUGCAACUUGUGCUUGCCUGAAUAUCUUGUCUAAUUUAUUCUCUGGAUAUGUUGUAGUAGUUCUUAAGUUUAACAGCUGUGUAACUUGUUCCGUUCAGCAGCACAUUAAUCCAUUUGCAGCAUGUCCUGGUCACCUCGGCAGGGAGCAAUGAUGGGAGAAAGAAGCAGUCCAUCAGGCAAGCAGCAUUGACACAUUUCACGAAGGCUGUUGUCAUUACCAACUUGAAGCUCACAGCACAAAUAUGGAGAUCAACCUUGAAGGUAUGGUCCCUCUCCCUGCACUAACUUUAAGUUUACUGAACGAAUGUUGCUGCUUUUCUGGUCGUGGGGAGCCGUGGCGGAUGGGGCGCGAAGCUGGGCAGGCCGCCGUCGCUGCCAACACGUUGCUAACCUGCACGCUAGGGCUAGGCUGAGGCGUGGACGCCGCGGCAGCCCGUGGCUAGGCAAGGUGUGGCCUGCGUAGCAGGCGGAGAAGGCGGGGUGCGGCAUGUAUGGCUGAGCCGCGGUGACCGGCGGCGCUAGCUGAUGCGCCAUGGAGCGGCAAUGCCUCGAUGUGAGGUUUACGUUAAGAGCACGUUUUUUACUCACUCCAUCUGCAAGCCUCAAGUAACCCCUUCAUUGACCAACUAUUUCUACUGUUUUUUGGCUUUUCUAUAUAGUUAGGAUAAGCCUCAAGUAACCCCUUCAUUGACCAACUAUUUCUACUGUUUUUUGGCUUUUCUAUAUAGUUAGGAUACUAUGGUUCUGUAAUGUUGUACAGUCUCAGUGUCAGAUAAAUGGACAAUAUUUUAAAAUUAUGACCAGGGAGCUUUUCAGGAUACAUCCUAGUAGUAGUAUUUUUUGGAUAGAUUUAUUUCAUUAAUUGUUAUAUGUUGACCAGGGAGCUUGGUUCUGUCCAAUAGAUAUGCAUGAACCUAGAGCUAACUCUAAUCUAUAUAUCUUUGACUAAUUUGGCUACCAUUUGCUUCUUUCAGAUUGGUUAAUAGUGUGGUAUGGAGGAUGUCUCAGUAAAGUGAAAAGCCUCAGUAAUGUUUAGGGGUAGCUACAACUCUUUUUGUUAGCUCGAUGAAUAUUCAAGAUGUUGAAAUGGCUAUGGUUCUUUGUCAUUUUGGACAUGUGACUUAGAUGUAGCGUGAUGUAUAUUGCUACCUAGAUGUAUGAGUUUGACAAUAUAAUUUUUUACAACCUGGGAUUUUGUCAAGAUUGUGUAAUUGAUGAGUGAGUGGGCUGAAAAACAAUUGCGGGCUCUAGCAAGCCAAUUUUAA
This is an RNA transcript of Sorghum bicolor (sorghum), 1284 nucleotides long. RefSeq lists it as uncharacterized. The transcript is spliced from 3 exons. The record is from RefSeq and is a predicted model, not a curated record. NCBI's taxonomy places the organism in Eukaryota, Viridiplantae, Streptophyta, Magnoliopsida, Poales, Poaceae.